Molecule: ribosomal RNA, 274 nt
Filed under: uncultured bacterium
Lineage: Bacteria
Description: partial 16S ribosomal RNA
Rfam family: Bacterial small subunit ribosomal RNA
Source: RNAcentral
AUACGGAGGGUGCAAGCGUUAAUCGGAAUUACUGGGCGUAAAGCGCGCGUAGGCGGAUAUUUAAGUCUCAUGUGAAAGCCCUGGGCUCAACCUGGGAACUGCAUGGGAUACUGGCAAUCUAGAAUACAGUAGAGGGUAGUGGAAUUUCAGGUGUAGCGGUGAAAUGCGUAGAGAUCUGAAGGAACAUCAGUGGCGAAGGCGACUACCUGGACUGAUAUUGACGCUGAGGUGCGAAAGCGUGGGGAGCAAACGGGAUUAGAAACCCUAGUAGUCC